AGUCGAGGAGCAGCAUAUAGAUUGCUUGCAAUUUAUGAUGGCGACCGGCGCACGGGUGAGUAACGCGUAUCCAACCUACCCAUUACUAGGGAAUAACCCAGCGAAAGUUGGCCUAAUGCCCUAUGUAGUCGUUUGAUCGCCUGAGAUUUCGACGAAAGAUUUAUCGGUAUUGGAUGGGGAUGCGUCUGAUUAGCUUGUUGGCGGGGUAAAGGCCCACCAAGGCAACGAUCAGUAGGGGUUCUGAGAGGAAGGUCCCCCACAUUGGAACUGAGACACGGUCCAAACUCCUACGGGAGGCAGCAGUGAGGAAUAUUGGUCAAUGGGCGAGAGCCUGAACCAGCCAAGUAGCGUGCAGGACGACGGCCCUAUGGGUUGUAAACUGCUUUUAUAUGGGAAUAAAGUGAGGGACGUGUCCCUUAUUGCAUGUACCAUACGAAUAAGGACCGGCUAAUUCCGUGCCAGCAGCCGCGGUAAUACGGAAGGUCCAGGCGUUAUCCGGAUUUAUUGGGUUUAAAGGGAGCGUACGCUGUUUGUUAAGCGUGUUGUGAAAUGUAGGGGCUCAACUUUUAGAUUGCAGCGCGAACUGGCAGACUUGAGUGCGCACAACGUAGGCGGAAUUCAUGGUGUAGCGGUGAAAUGCUUAGAUAUCAUGACGAACUCCGAUUGC
RNAcentral lists this ribosomal RNA (667 nucleotides) under uncultured bacterium. RNAcentral's name for it is "bacterial SSU rRNA". It matches the Rfam family "Bacterial small subunit ribosomal RNA", at positions 60 to 716 of the family's 1533-position model. The record is from RNAcentral.